This 486-nucleotide ribosomal RNA is filed under the name uncultured bacterium. Its description in RNAcentral is "bacterial SSU rRNA". It matches the Rfam family "Bacterial small subunit ribosomal RNA", at positions 28 to 507 of the family's 1533-position model. The record is from RNAcentral.
GAUGAACGCUAGCGGGAGGCUUAACACAUGCAAGUCGAGGGGCAGCACGAGGUAGCAAUACUUUGGUGGCGACCGGCGCACGGGUGAGUAACGCGUAUGCAACCUACCCUGUACAGGGGGAUAGCCCGGAGAAAUUCGGAUUAAUACCCCAUAAAUAUAUCGAGAGGCAUCUUUUGAUAUUUAAAGUUUCGACGGUACGGGAUGGGCAUGCGUAACAUUAGCUAGUUGGUAGGGUAACGGCCUACCAAGGCGACGAUGUUUAGGGGUCCUGAGAGGGUGAUCCCCCACACUGGUACUGAGACACGGACCAGACUCCUACGGGAGGCAGCAGUGAGGAAUAUUGGUCAAUGGGCGUAAGCCUGAACCAGCCAUCCCGCGUGAAGGAAGACGGCGCUAUGCGUUGUAAACUUCUUUUCCAGAGGAAUAAAAUUUUGUACGAGUACGGAACUGAAGGUACUCUGGGAAUAAGCAUCGGCUAACUCCGUG